RNAcentral lists this ribosomal RNA (496 nucleotides) under uncultured bacterium. Its description in RNAcentral is "bacterial SSU rRNA". It matches the Rfam family "Bacterial small subunit ribosomal RNA", at positions 21 to 507 of the family's 1533-position model. The record is from RNAcentral.
GGCUCAGGAUGAACGCUAGCUACAGGCUUAACACAUGCAAGUCGAGGGGCAGCAUGAACUUAGCUUGCUAAGUUUGAUGGCGACCGGCGCACGGGUGAGUAACACGUAUCCAACCUGCCGAUGACUCGGGGAUAGCCUUUCGAAAGAAAGAUUAAUACCCGAUGGCAUAGUUCCUCCGCAUGGUAGAACUAUUAAAGAAUUUCGGUCAUCGAUGGGCAUGCGUCCUAUUAGUUAGUUGGCGGGGUAACAGCCCACCAAGACGAUGAUAGGUAGGGGUUCUGAGAGGAAGGUCCCCCACAUUGGAACUGAGACACGGUCCAAACUCCUACGGGAGGCAGCAGUGAGGAAUAUUGGUCAAUGGACGAGAGUCUGAACCAGCCAAGUCGCGUGAGGGAAGACUGCCCUAUGGGUUGUAAACCUCUUUUAUAAGGGAAGAAUAAGUUCUACGUGUAGAAUGAUGCCUGUACCUUAUGAAUAAGCAUCGGCUAACUCCGUG